RNAcentral lists this long non-coding RNA (476 nucleotides) under Androctonus crassicauda. Lineage: Eukaryota; Metazoa; Arthropoda; Arachnida; Scorpiones; Buthidae. The record is from RNAcentral.
ACACACACACACACACACACACACACACACACACACACAAAAAGGAAAGGAACGUCAAACUUGUCCGCGCAUGAAUUCCAAAUUUUUUCAAAGGUGGGACCUGAGACUCGAACCAGGAUCCUCCAGCGUGGAAAGCCGAAGCAAUUCAAGCAGUUUUAUAACAACUUUAAGAAAAUCGCGUCAGGUGAUAUCUCGCGACAGAAUAUAAUAGUUCACGUGUAAUUUAAUGAUCACUUUGUAUUUGUUAGUGUGUUCUUGCUGUCUCUAUAUUUGUUUCAAGCGAUUUCAUUUAAACCAAAAUACAAAGGCCGGAUGGCCGAGUGGUAACGGUCUCGGCGUGCCACGCAGGAGGACCCCAGUUCACAUCCCGGGUCUGGUGACUUCUGAAAAGUUCUUUCGGGGUGCUGGGCCCGGCCCGGCGAUCUCCGUCCUUCACCAUCCAGCCCCCUCCAUGGGUGUGGGUGCAGUCCGUGAUU